This 270-nucleotide ribosomal RNA is filed under the name uncultured archaeon. RNAcentral's name for it is "partial 16S ribosomal RNA". It matches the Rfam family "Archaeal small subunit ribosomal RNA", at positions 477 to 747 of the family's 1478-position model. The record is from RNAcentral.
CUGCAGCCCGAGUGGUGAUCGAUUUUAUUGAGCCUAAAGCGUCCGUAGCCGGACUAGUAAACCCUUGGGUAAAUUGGGCAGCUUAACUGUCCAAAUUCCGAGGGGACUGCUAGUCUUGGGACCGGGAGAGGUCAGAGGUACUCCAGGGGUAGGGGCCAAAUCCUGUAAUCCUUGGGGGACCACCAGUGGCGAAGGCGUCUGACUAGAACGGAUCCGACGGUAAGGGACGAAACCCUGGGGCGCGAACCGGAUUAGAUACCCGAGUAGUCC